Ostrea edulis (European flat oyster) is the source of this 804-nucleotide long non-coding RNA. RefSeq lists it as uncharacterized. Lineage: Eukaryota; Metazoa; Mollusca; Bivalvia; Ostreida; Ostreidae. The transcript has 2 exons. The record is from RefSeq and is a predicted model, not a curated record.
UCCAAGUUUAUUAUAACUUUAAAGUAACAUUUUAUGAAUGAAAUACAAAUACUACUUAGGCUUCAUUGUGAUAUUGAACUGCUAAUGUUCUUUAUAAACUUUACUUGCAUCAAAUUUUGAAUACUGCAGUACAUCUAUGUCAAAAUAAGUAUGCAUAUUACUAGGGCUGUGCGGUGCACCGAAAAUUUCGGUGCACCGCGAUUCAUACCAUUCGAUUCGAUGCACCGAUUACAAAUUCCGGAUUUCGGUUCGGUUCGGUUUAGAUUUUACUUACACCAAAACAACAAAUAUGGCGUCCGUGUGAUGUUGAAAACAUGUGGUUUUUUAUACAACGGAGAUUUAAAUCACUACUGUGUUAAGAGUUAGCAUUUUCACCACUCAGAUACCAACAGAAUAUGGUCCGUAAGAUCAUUGCAGUUUAUCUUUACAUGGCAUAUAGCAUUUAUGUCAGUGGUGGAGAGAAAUCAACAUCGUAGAAAGUGAUGCAAGGGAUGGUUCGCUGCACCUCAAAACAAAAUAUGAAUAUUGGCAUCAAAUUCAAGGACAACAACACCUGAAAGACACCCAAUGCUGUGAUUUGCUAGUGUGGAUUCCUAGUGACACUCAAAUAAUUCACAUCGACAAAGAUGUAUUAUGUCAACCUUUCAAGCGGGAUAGAGUUUAAUUAUAAUAAUGAAGUAUUUUUGCAGUCUAAAACACACACACAUAACCACAUGUACAUAUACUUUAUUAUGAUAUCAGUGGUGCAUCUAUCAAAAUUAUGUAAUUACAUGUAUAUUUAUUGAAUAAACAUUAUAGACAGUU